UACGUAGGAGGCAAGCGUUGUCCGGAAUUACUGGGCGUAAAGCGUGCGUAGGUGGUUUGUUAAGUCUGCUGUGAAAGCCCCGGGCUCAACCUGGGAAUGGCAGUGGAUACUGGCAAGCUAGAGUGCGGUAGAGGGGUGUGGAAUUCCCGGUGUAGCGGUGAAAUGCGUAGAGAUCGGGAGGAACACCAGUGGCGAAGGCGGCACCCUGGACCAGCACUGACACUGAGGCGCGAAAGCUAGGGGAGCGAACGGG
Molecule: ribosomal RNA, 253 nt
Filed under: uncultured bacterium
Lineage: Bacteria
Description: partial 16S ribosomal RNA
Rfam family: Bacterial small subunit ribosomal RNA
Source: RNAcentral